GUAACAGCCAUGAUCGGGAUAACAGUCUGAAACAGGGCCACAGAGAGCCGGGUUGGGUGGAAGCCGGUGCUGCUGGCAGGCUGGUCUCACCCGGGAGUUGCCCCCGUGAAAGUUUUACACACGAGUAAUUGGGGCCGGGUUUCGGUAACCCGUUAUCAAAAAGCACACGGGCAGCUAACUGUCUGUAUCUGUGCAUGAGUGGCUCUUUAAUUAGAGCAAUCAGGGUGGUACCGCGGAAGGAUUAACCUCUCGUCCCUGGC
This 260-nucleotide non-coding RNA is filed under the name Desulfotomaculum nigrificans. Its description in RNAcentral is "T-box sequence". It matches the Rfam family "T-box leader". From Rfam's summary of the family: Uncharged tRNA acts as the effector for transcription antitermination of genes in the T-box leader family. T-boxes are found upstream of many aminoacyl-tRNA synthetase genes and some amino acid biosynthetic genes usually in Gram-positive bacteria. The record is from RNAcentral. Lineage: Bacteria; Bacillati; Bacillota; Clostridia; Eubacteriales; Desulfotomaculaceae.